This 519-nucleotide long non-coding RNA is filed under the name Rattus norvegicus (Norway rat). Its description in RNAcentral is "long non-coding RNA NONRATT014942". Lineage: Eukaryota; Metazoa; Chordata; Mammalia; Rodentia; Muridae. The record is from RNAcentral.
GGCGGCGCUGACCUUCCGCCGGCUGUUGGCUCUCCCUAGGGCUGCCCGGGGUUUCGGGGUGCGAGUGUCGCUGAGCGGGGAGAAGAUCACGCAUACCGGCCAGGUAACGAGGUAACGGCCGUAAUGCCUGGAACCCGAGACUGACGGUAGCAGGGAGCGUGGCAAGGUGUCUGAUGGAAAAGACUACAGGGGGAUUCGUUUUGUAGAUCGUCAGAAAGAGGUGAAUGAGAACUUUGCCAUUGAUUUGAUAGCACAACAACCUGUGAAUGAGGUGGACCGUCGUAUCAUAGCCUGUGAUGGAGGGGGUGGAGCCUUGGGCCACCCCAAGGUGUAUAUAAACCUGGGACAAAGAAACAAAAACGGGUACGUGUGGCUACUGCGGCCUGCAGUUCAAGCAGCAGCAUCACUAGUGUGGGCUGUGUCCUGGUCCUCUGACACCCGUGGAGCAUCUCAUGCUUAGUGUUCUGGUGUGAGGUCACUGCUCUGUGAAUGGUGUCCCUUGUUAUGAAUAAAGGAUGC